CAACUCUAUGCGGUGGAUCACUCGGCUCGUGCGUCGAUGA
This 40-nucleotide ribosomal RNA is filed under the name Corbicula sp. form A ccc7. RNAcentral's name for it is "partial 5.8S ribosomal RNA". The record is from RNAcentral. Lineage: Eukaryota; Metazoa; Mollusca; Bivalvia; Venerida; Cyrenidae.